GACGAACGCUGGCGGCGUGCUUAACACAUGCAAGUCGAACGGAAAGGCCCUGCUUUUGUGGGGUGCUCGAGUGGCGAACGGGUGAGUAACACGUGAGUAACCUGCCCUUGACUUUGGGAUAACUUCAGGAAACUGGGGCUAAUACCGGAUAGGAGCUCCUGCUGCAUGGUGGGGGUUGGAAAGUUUCGGCGGUUGGGGAUGGACUCGCGGCUUAUCAGCUUGUUGGUGGGGUAGUGGCUUACCAAGGUUUUGACGGGUAGCCGGCCUGAGAGGGUGACCGGCCACAUUGGGACUGAGAUACGGCCCAGACUCCUCCGGGAGGCAGCAGUGGGGAAUAUUGCACAAUGGGCGGAAGCCUGAUGCAGCAACGCCGCGUGCGGGAUGACGGCCUUCGGGUUGUAAACCGCUUUCGCCUGUGACGAAGCGUGAGUGACGGUAAUGGGUAAAGAAGCACCGGCUAACUACGUG
This 468-nucleotide ribosomal RNA is filed under the name uncultured bacterium. RNAcentral describes it as "partial 16S ribosomal RNA". It matches the Rfam family "Bacterial small subunit ribosomal RNA", at positions 28 to 507 of the family's 1533-position model. The record is from RNAcentral.